This 72-nucleotide transfer RNA is filed under the name Phrynosoma platyrhinos (Desert horned lizard). RNAcentral's name for it is "tRNA-OTHER". The stretch from base 9 to 72 matches the Rfam family "tRNA". Rfam says of the family: Transfer RNA (tRNA) molecules are approximately 80 nucleotides in length. Their secondary structure includes four short double-helical elements and three loops (D, anti-codon, and T loops). The record is from RNAcentral. Lineage: Eukaryota; Metazoa; Chordata; Lepidosauria; Squamata; Phrynosomatidae.
GCCAGCAUGGUGCAGUGGUUUGAGCACUGGACUAUGACUCUGGAGACCAGGGUUCAACUCCCUGCUCAGCCA